CUGGAAUCGCUAGUAAUCGCGGAUCAGAAUGCCGCGGUGAAUACGUUCCCGGGUCUUGUACACACCGCCCGUCACACCAUGGGAGUCGGAAAUGCCCGAAGUCUGUGACCCAACCGCGAGGAGGGAGCAGCCGAAGGCAGGUCGGAUGACUGGGGUGAAGUCGUAACAAGGUAUC
This 175-nucleotide ribosomal RNA is filed under the name uncultured bacterium. RNAcentral describes it as "partial 16S ribosomal RNA". It matches the Rfam family "Bacterial small subunit ribosomal RNA", at positions 1326 to 1500 of the family's 1533-position model. The record is from RNAcentral.